This 77-nucleotide transfer RNA is filed under the name Pseudomonadota bacterium. Its description in RNAcentral is "tRNA-Arg". It matches the Rfam family "tRNA". From Rfam's summary of the family: Transfer RNA (tRNA) molecules are approximately 80 nucleotides in length. RNAcentral also lists the same sequence under 3 other names. Lineage: Bacteria; Pseudomonadati; Pseudomonadota. The record is from RNAcentral.
GGCUCCGUAGCUCAGCUGGAUAGAGCACCAGAUUCCUAAUCUGGGGGUCGCGCGUUCGAAUCGCGCCGGAGUCACCA